This 75-nucleotide transfer RNA is filed under the name Gammaproteobacteria bacterium. Its description in RNAcentral is "tRNA-Val". The stretch from base 10 to 64 matches the Rfam family "tRNA", at positions 10 to 63 of the family's 71-position model. From Rfam's summary of the family: Transfer RNA (tRNA) molecules are approximately 80 nucleotides in length. Their secondary structure includes four short double-helical elements and three loops (D, anti-codon, and T loops). Further hydrogen bonds mediate the characteristic L-shaped molecular structure. tRNAs have two regions of fundamental functional importance: the anti-codon, which is responsible for specific mRNA codon recognition, and the 3' end, to which the tRNAs corresponding amino acid is attached (by aminoacyl-tRNA synthetases). tRNAs cope with the degeneracy of the genetic code in two manners: having more than one tRNA (with a specific anti-codon) for a particular amino acid; and 'wobble' base-pairing, i.e. permitting non-standard base-pairing at the 3rd anti-codon position. The record is from RNAcentral. Lineage: Bacteria; Pseudomonadati; Pseudomonadota; Gammaproteobacteria.
UGUAGCGGUGCUCAGUGGGAGAGCACUGCCUUCACACGGCAGGGGUCGCAAGUUCGAACCUUGCCGCGCCCACCA